RNAcentral lists this ribosomal RNA (253 nucleotides) under uncultured bacterium. RNAcentral describes it as "partial 16S ribosomal RNA". It matches the Rfam family "Bacterial small subunit ribosomal RNA", at positions 524 to 776 of the family's 1533-position model. The record is from RNAcentral.
UACGUAGGGUGCAAGCGUUGUCCGGAUUCACUGGGUGUAAAGGGUGCGCAGGCGGGCUCUUAAGUCAAAGGUGAAAUCUCUCGGCUUAACCGAGAAAUUGCCUUUGAUACUGAGAGUCUUGAGUACGGGAGAGGGAGAUGGAAUUCCAGGUGUAGCGGUGAAAUGCGUAGAUAUCUGGAGGAACACCGGAGGCGAAGGCGGUCUCCUGGCCCGUUACUGACGCUCAGGCACGAAAGCGUGGGGAGCAAACAGG